This 2083-nucleotide ribosomal RNA is filed under the name human metagenome. RNAcentral describes it as "bacterial LSU rRNA". It matches the Rfam family "Bacterial large subunit ribosomal RNA", at positions 1 to 2082 of the family's 2925-position model. The record is from RNAcentral.
UUAAAUUUGUAAGGGCGUAUGGUGGAUGCCUUGGCAUUAGAAGCUGAUGAAGGACGUGACUAACUACGAUAUGCUUCGGGGAGAUGUACGUAAUCUUUGAUCCGGAGAUUUCCGAAUGGGGGAACCCACUAGUGGUAAUGCACUAGUAUCGCAUAAUGAAUAUAUAGUUAUGCAGAAAGCAACCCAGUGAACUGAAACAUCUUAGUAACUGGAGGAACAGAAAGAAAAAUCGAUUUCCUUAGUAGUGGCGAGCGAAACGGAAAGAGCCCAAACCGACUUUAGAGUCGGGGUUGUAGGACCUCUCUAUAAGAGUUACAAAUUCAUAACAUAGUUGAACUUUUCUGGAAAGUUAGACGAAACAAGGUGAUAGUCCUGUAAACGAAAUGUUAUGAACUCUUUGAGGUAUCCUGAGUACAACGAGACACGAGAAAUCUUGUUGGAAUCUGCGGGGACCAUCCCGUAAGGCUAAAUACUAUCUAAUGACCGAUAGUGAACAAGUACCGUGAGGGAAAGGUGAAAAGAACCCCGGGAGGGGAGUGAAAUAGAAACUGAAACCGUAUGCUUACAAAAAGUUCGAGCACAUUAAUGUGUGAGAGCGUGCCUUUUGCAGAAUGAACCGGCGAGUUAUUGUAUUAUGCAAGGUUAAGUCGAACAGAUGGAGCCGAAGCGAAAGCGAGUCUGAAUAGGGCGCUUAAGUAUGAUGCAAUAGACCCGAAACCGAGUGAUCUAGCCAUGAGCAGGUUGAAGUUGGGGUAAGACCCAAUGGAGGACCGAACCGAUAUGCCCGGAAACGCGUACGGAUGACUUGUGGUUAGCGGAGAAAUUCCAAACGAACUCGGAGAUAGCUGGUUCUCCCCGAAAUAGGUUUAGGCCUAGCCUUGAUUGAAUCUGCCUGGAGGUAGAGCACUGAAUGUGCGAUGGCGUCGUCUAGAUGUACUGAGUACAAUCAAACUCCGAAUGCUGGGUAGUACUAAUCAGGAGUCACUGUAUGGGUGAUAACGUCCAUACGGGAGAGGAAAAGAAUCCGGAUCGCCAGCUAAGGUCCCAAAAUUUGUGUUAAGUGGGAAAGGAUGUAGAGUUGUCAAAACAGCUAGGAGGUUGGCUUAGAAGCAGCCACCCUUUAAAGAGUGCGUAAUAGCUCACUAGUCGAGUGACACUGCGCCGAAGAUGUACCGGGGCUAAACACAAUACCGAAGCUGCGGACUUGCAUGUAAGUGCAAGUGGUAGGGGAGCGUUCUAAGUGCUGAGAAGGUAGACCGUAAGGACUGCUGGAGCGCUUAGAAGUGAGAAUGCCGGUGUGAGUAACGAAAAUUGGGUGAGAAUCCCAUUCACCGUUUGACUAAGGGUUCCUGGGUAAAGUUCGUCUUCUCAGGGUAAGUCAGGACCUAAGAUGAGGCUGAAAAGCGUAGUCGAUGGACAACAGGUUGAUAUUCCUGUACCACCUAUAUGACUGAAGGAGUGACGGAGAAAGCUAGUGAGAGCCAGUUAAUGGAUUCUGGUCUAAGUGCGUAGGCUAGUAUGUUGGCAAAUCCGCAAUACUAUAACAGCUGAAACAUGAUGGGGAAGAGAGUCUUCGGACAAUCGAACUUUCAUGAUGCUAUGCUUCCAAGAAAAGCUUCUAGGGUUAAUCGUAUAGGUGCCUGUACCGACAACCGACACAGGUGGUCAAGGAGAGUAUCCUAAGGUGAGCGAGAGAACUAUGGUUAAGGAACUCGGCAAAAUGACCCCGUAACUUCGGGAGAAGGGGUGGUCUAGCGAUAGACCCGCAGUGAAUAGGCCCAGGCAACUGUUUACCAAAAACACAGGUCUCUGCUAACACGUAAGUGGAUGUAUAGGGGCUGACGCCUGCCCAGUGCUGGAAGGUUAAAGAGAUUAGUUAGUAUGACGUAAGUCGAUAAUACGAAGCUUUGAACUGAAGCCCCAGUGAACGGCGGCCGUAACUAUAACGGUCCUAAGGUAGCGAAAUUCCUUGUCAGGUAAGUUCUGACCCGCACGAAAGGCGUAAUGAUUUGGGCACUGUCUCAACAGCCCGCCCGGCGAAAUUGUAGUACCGGUGAAGAUGCCGGUUACCCGCGACAAGACG